UGCAUCUUAAAUAAUGCAAGUCAAGCUUGGAUGUGAUAGUACAUUUAGUGACUAGCGGAGUAGUAAUUAAUAGGCAAUCUACUUGUUGGAUAGGAAUAAUUACUAAAAUAGCAGCUAAUACUAAAGGAUAUUAGUUAAUUGAUAUCCUUUGAAGUUUAGUUUGUAGUUGAGUUUAUGUCUUGUUGGUUGGGGGUAGGGACAAAUCCCCCAAAACGACAAUAAGUAAUUGAUUUGAGAUUGUAAACAGUCACACUGGAACUGAGAUGAGGUCUAAACUUCCAUGGGGGGCAGCAGCUAAUAAUCUUUUACAAUAGGUGAAAGUUUGACAGAGUGAUGCUGCAUGAAUGAAUAAGGUCGAAAGAUUGUAAAAUUCUUUUAUAAGCGAGGAAUAAGCUUUGUAGGAAAUGACAAGGCGAUGAUGUUAAUUUGUGAAUAAGCCCCGGCUAAUACUUACCAGUAGUUUCGGUAAAAUGUGUAGAUGGCGGCGAGCUUUGUUUUGAAUUAUUGUGUGUAAAGGGUGAGUAGGUAGAUAUAUAGGUUUAUGCAAAAUGCCACAGCUUAAUUGUGGGGGUUAUGUUGGAAACUAUAUGCCUAGAGUCUGAUAUAGGAAGUUAGAAUUCCUUGUAUAAGUGUGGAAUCUAUUGAUAUCAGGAAGAAUGCCGGAGGCAAAGGCGAAAAUACUUCUGGGUGAAGAUUGACGCUGAGUCACAAAAGCGUAGGGGAUAAAUAGGAUUAAAUACCUCGUUAGUCUACUCUGUAAGCGAUGCAUUUUUGGUGUUAACUAAAAAUUGGUACUGAAGCUAACGUGUUAAGUGUAUCUAUUGGGGAGUAUGUUCGUAAUAGUGAAGCUCAAAGGAAUUAGCGAGGGGCGCGCACAAGCGAUAGAGUAUGUGGUUUAAUUCGAUGAUGUGCAAGGAACCUUGUCAAGGAUUAACAUAUAUAAGGUAUAGUUAGAGAUAUUUAUUCCCCGUUUGGGGUCUAUAUACAGGUGCUGUAUGGUUGUCGUCAGCUCGUGUUGUGGGGUUUUGGGUUAAGUUUUACAACGAGUACAACCCUUAUUAUCUGUUACUAGCAUGUAAUGGUGGGAACUCAGAUAAGAUUGCUGGUGGUAAAUCGGAUGAGUGUGAGGAUUGUGUUAAAUCAUUAUGGCCCCUAUUUCUUGGGCUAUAUGUAUGCUACAAUGGUUUGUAUAAAACAAAGCGCACAAAGCAAGUUUCGGUGUUCGGAUUGAAGUUUAAAACUCGAUUUUAUGAAGUUGGAAUCGCAUAGUGAUCCUAUAUUAGAAUGAUACUAUGAAUACCUUCUCAUGCCUUAUGCACACUGCCUGUCAUAAUGCCUGAGUUAAGGAUGUCCGAGAACUAUUUCAACUCGUAGGGAAAGAAGGUGUUCGGGGUAUUUUUAGUGAGAGGGGUGAAGUUUUAACAAGGUGGUCGUACUGGAAAGUGUGGCUGGAUCAUCUCCUUU
RNAcentral lists this ribosomal RNA (1464 nucleotides) under Borreliella afzelii. Its description in RNAcentral is "bacterial SSU rRNA". It matches the Rfam family "Bacterial small subunit ribosomal RNA". Lineage: Bacteria; Pseudomonadati; Spirochaetota; Spirochaetia; Spirochaetales; Borreliaceae. The record is from RNAcentral.